RNAcentral lists this ribosomal RNA (748 nucleotides) under Sordariomycetes sp. Its description in RNAcentral is "eukaryotic LSU rRNA". The stretch from base 312 to 748 matches the Rfam family "Eukaryotic large subunit ribosomal RNA", at positions 1 to 441 of the family's 3401-position model. The record is from RNAcentral. Lineage: Eukaryota; Fungi; Ascomycota; Sordariomycetes.
GGUUCUGGCAUCGAUGAAGAACGCAGCGAAAUGCGAUAAGUAAUGUGAAUUGCAGAAUUCAGUGAAUCAUCGAAUCUUUGAACGCACAUUGCGCCCAUUAGUACUCUAGUGGGCAUGCCUGUUCGAGCGUCAUUACGACCCUUAAGCCUAGCUUAGUAUUGGGAACCUACGUGCGGCAGCUACCCUGUAGCUACCCUGUAGCUCCUUAAAGACAACGGCGGAGACGUGGAGUCCUCUGAGCUUAGUAAACUUUUUCUAGCUUCUGAAGGCGCCGCGGCCCCUGCCGUAAAACCCCCCAACUCUUUAGUGGUUGACCUCGGAUCAGGUAGGAAUACCCGCUGAACUUAAGCAUAUCAAUAAGCGGAGGAAAAGAAACCAACAGGGAUUGCCUUAGUAACGGCGAGUGAAGCGGCAACAGCUCAAAUUUGAAAGCUGGCCUUCGGGUCCGCGUUGUAAUUUGUAGAGGAUGCUUUUGGUUAGGUGCCUUACGAGUUCCCUGGAACGGGACGCCUUAGAGGGUGAGAGCCCCGUACGUUUGGUUACCGAGCCUCUGUAAAGCUCCUUCGACGAGUCGAGUAGUUUGGGAAUGCUGCUCUAAAUGGGAGGUAAAUUUCUUCUAAAGCUAAAUACCGGCCAGAGACCGAUAGCGCACAAGUAGAGUGAUCGAAAGAUGAAAAGCACUUUGAAAAGAGGGUUAAAUAGCACGUGAAAUUGUUGAAAGGGAAGCGUUUAUGACCAGACUUUUUCC